Molecule: ribosomal RNA, 140 nt
Filed under: uncultured bacterium
Lineage: Bacteria
Description: partial 16S ribosomal RNA
Rfam family: Bacterial small subunit ribosomal RNA
Source: RNAcentral
ACCAGCCAUCCCGCGUGAGGAGAAGGCGCUCUGCGUUGUAAACUUCUUUUCCAGAGGAAUAAAAUUUCUGUACCAGUACGAAACUGAAGGUACUUUGGGAAUAAGCAUCGGCUAGCUCCGUGCCAGCAGCCGCGGUAAUA